Molecule: ribosomal RNA, 474 nt
Filed under: unidentified nematode Sourhope farm
Lineage: Eukaryota; Metazoa; Nematoda
Description: SSU rRNA
Rfam family: Eukaryotic small subunit ribosomal RNA
Source: RNAcentral
CUAAGUAUAACCUGCCAGACAGGGAAACUGCGUACGGCUCAUUACACCAGCCUUAAUUUACUUGACCUUGACAACCUACUUGGAUAACUGUGGUAAUUCUAGAGCUAAUACAUGCACCAAAGCUCCGAUCCUCGCGGAGAGGAGCGCAUUUGUUCGCCACAAAACCAAGCGCCCAUCUGGGCGUCCAGUGCUGAACCAGAACAACUCAGCUGAUCGCACGGUCUUGUACCGGCGACGUGUCUUUCAAGUGUCUGCCUUAUCAACUUUCGAUGGUAGUGUACCUGACUACCAUGGUUGUGACGGGUAACGGAGGAUAAGGGUUCGACUCCGGAGAAGGGGCCUGAGAAAUGGCCACUACGUCUAAGGAUGGCAGCAGGCGCGCAAAUUACCCACUCUCAACGCGAGGAGGUAGUGACGAGAAAUAACGAGACCGUUCUCAUACGAGGCCGGUUAUUGGAAUGGGUACAAUUUAAA